GCCGAAGUGGUGGAACUUGGUAGACACGCUAUCUUGAGGGGGUAGUGGGGAGACUCGUGCCGGUUCAAAUCCGGCCUUCGGCACCA
RNAcentral lists this transfer RNA (86 nucleotides) under Deltaproteobacteria bacterium. RNAcentral describes it as "tRNA-Leu". It matches the Rfam family "tRNA". Rfam says of the family: Transfer RNA (tRNA) molecules are approximately 80 nucleotides in length. Their secondary structure includes four short double-helical elements and three loops (D, anti-codon, and T loops). Further hydrogen bonds mediate the characteristic L-shaped molecular structure. tRNAs have two regions of fundamental functional importance: the anti-codon, which is responsible for specific mRNA codon recognition, and the 3' end, to which the tRNAs corresponding amino acid is attached (by aminoacyl-tRNA synthetases). tRNAs cope with the degeneracy of the genetic code in two manners: having more than one tRNA (with a specific anti-codon) for a particular amino acid; and 'wobble' base-pairing, i.e. permitting non-standard base-pairing at the 3rd anti-codon position. RNAcentral also lists the same sequence under 1 other name. Lineage: Bacteria; Pseudomonadati; Myxococcota; Myxococcia. The record is from RNAcentral.